RNAcentral lists this small nuclear RNA (23 nucleotides) under Arabidopsis thaliana (thale cress). Its description in RNAcentral is "snRNA_07497". The record is from RNAcentral. Lineage: Eukaryota; Viridiplantae; Streptophyta; Magnoliopsida; Brassicales; Brassicaceae.
CAAUGGAACUUUUCCAUUGACUU